RNAcentral lists this ribosomal RNA (640 nucleotides) under Lafoea dumosa. RNAcentral's name for it is "SSU rRNA". It matches the Rfam family "Eukaryotic small subunit ribosomal RNA", at positions 1 to 635 of the family's 1831-position model. Lineage: Eukaryota; Metazoa; Cnidaria; Hydrozoa; Leptothecata; Lafoeidae. The record is from RNAcentral.
AACCUGGUUGAUCCUGCCAGUAGUCAUAUGCUUGUCUCAAAGAUUAAGCCAUGCAUGUCUAAGUAUAAGCACUUGUACUGUGAAACUGCGAAUGGCUCAUUAAAUCAGUUAUCGUUUAUUUGAUUGUACUUUACUACAUGGAUAUCUGUGGUAAUUCUAGAGCUAAUACAUGCGAAAAAUCCCGACUUAUGGAAGGGAUGUAUUUAUUAGAUUAAAAACCAAUACGGGUCCUUGCGGCUCGUUUUCCUGGUGAUUCAUGAUAACUUUUCGAAUCGCAUGGCCUUUGUGCCGGCGAUGUUUCAUUCAAAUUUCUGCCCUAUCAACUGUCGAUGGUAAGGUAGUGGCUUACCAUGGUUGUAACGGGUGACGGAGAAUUAGGGUUCGAUUCCGGAGAGGGAGCCUGAGAAACGGCUACCACAUCUAAGGAAGGCAGCAGGCGCGGAAAUUACCCAAUCCCGACUCGGGGAGGUAGUGACAAGAAAUAACGAUACGGGGUCUUAAUAGGUCUCGCAAUUGGAAUGAGUACAAUUUAAAUCCUUUAACGAGGAUCAAUUGGAGGGCAAGUCUGGUGCCAGCAGCCGCGGUAAUUCCAGCUCCAAUAGCGUAUAUUAAAGUUGUUGCAGUUAAAAAGCUCGUAGUU